AGAGUUUGAUCAUGGCUCAGGAUGAACGCUAGCGACAGGCUUAACACAUGCAAGUCGAGGGGCAGCAUGGUUUGUAGCAAUACAGAUUGAUGGCGACCGGCGCACGGGUGAGUAACGCGUAUGCAACUUACCUAUCAGAGGGGGAUGGCCCGGCGAAAGUCGGAUUAAUACCCCAUAAAACAGGGGUCCCGCAUGGGAAUAUUUGUUAAAGAUUCAUCGCUGAUAGAUAGGCAUGCGUUCCAUUAGGCAGUUGGCGGGGUAACGGCCACAAACCGCGAUGGAUAGGGGUUCUGAGAGGAAGGUCCCCCANAUUGGUACUGAGACACGGACCAAACUCCUACGGGAGGCA
RNAcentral lists this ribosomal RNA (349 nucleotides) under uncultured bacterium. RNAcentral describes it as "bacterial SSU rRNA". It matches the Rfam family "Bacterial small subunit ribosomal RNA", at positions 8 to 350 of the family's 1533-position model. The record is from RNAcentral.